GACGAACGCUGGCGGCGGGCUUAACACAUGCAAGUCGAACGGAAAGGCCCUGCUUUUGUGGGGUGGUCGGAUGGAGAAGGGGGGAGUAACACGUGUGUACCCUGCCCUUGACUUUGGGAUAACUUCAUAAAACAUGGGCCAAUACCGGGUAGGAGCUCUUGGUGCAUGGUGGGGGUUGGAAAGUUUCGGCAGUUGGGGAUGGAAUCGCGGCCUAUCAGCUUGUUGGAGGGGUAGUGGCUGAGCAUGGCCUGGAGGGGUAGCCUGGCUGGGCGGGUGACCGGCCACAUUGCAACUGGGCUACGGCCCAGACGCGUACGGGAGGCAACAGUGGGGAAUAUUGCACAAGGGGCGGAAGCCAGCUGUAGCAAAGCCGCGUGCGGUAUGACGUCCUGCGGUUUGUAUACCGCUUUCGCCUGUGACGAAGCGUUAGUGACGGUAACAGGUAAAGAAGCCCCGGCUAACUACGUG
RNAcentral lists this ribosomal RNA (468 nucleotides) under uncultured bacterium. RNAcentral's name for it is "partial 16S ribosomal RNA". It matches the Rfam family "Bacterial small subunit ribosomal RNA", at positions 28 to 507 of the family's 1533-position model. The record is from RNAcentral.